CCCCUAGAUGUUCUGGGCCGCACGCGCGCUACACUGAACAGUUCAACAAGUCUUAACCUUGGCCGACAGGCCUGGGCAAUCUUUGAACAUCGAUCGUGAUCGGGAUAGAUUCUUGUAAUUUUUGAUCUUAAACGAGGAAUUCCUAGUAAACGCAAGUCAUCAGCUUGCAUUGAUUACGUCCCUGCCCUUUGUACACACCGCCCGUCGCACCUACCGAUUGAAUGGUCCGGUGAAAUCUCCGGACUGGCGUGAGUCGGAGCAAUCUGACAAACACCGGAAAGUUGAUUAAACCUUACCAUUUAGAGGAAGGUGAAGUCGUAACA
RNAcentral lists this ribosomal RNA (323 nucleotides) under uncultured eukaryote. RNAcentral's name for it is "partial 18S ribosomal RNA". It matches the Rfam family "Eukaryotic small subunit ribosomal RNA", at positions 1470 to 1796 of the family's 1831-position model. The record is from RNAcentral.